AGCGAACGCUGGCGGCGUGCUUAACACAUGCAAGUCGCGUGCGCAGUUCCCUGUAGCAAUACAGGGGAUGGGCGCACGGCGCACGGGUGCGUAACACGUGGGUGACCUGCCCUAAGAUGGGGAAUAACCCCGCGAAAGCGGGGCUAAUACCGCAUAACAUUCUUCGACAUACGGGUUGAAGAAUCAAAGUCCGCCUUCGGCGGACGCCUUUGGAGGGGCCCGCGGCCGAUUAGCUAGUUGGCGAGGUAAUGGCUCACCAAGGCAGUGAUCGGUAGCUGGUCUGAGAGGAUGAUCAGCCACACUGGAACUGAGACACGGUCCAGACUCCUACGGGAGGCAGCAGUGGGGAAUCUUGCGCAAUGGGCGAAAGCCUGACGCAGCGACGCCGCGUGGGGGAUGAAGCUUCUCGGAGCGUAAACCCCUUUCGACCUAGACGAAACGCCUCGCAAGAGGAAUUGACGGUACAGGGAGAAGAAGCCCCGGCUAACUACGUGCC
This 496-nucleotide ribosomal RNA is filed under the name uncultured bacterium. RNAcentral describes it as "bacterial SSU rRNA". It matches the Rfam family "Bacterial small subunit ribosomal RNA", at positions 29 to 509 of the family's 1533-position model. The record is from RNAcentral.